Molecule: long non-coding RNA, 2232 nt
Organism: Herpailurus yagouaroundi (jaguarundi)
Lineage: Eukaryota; Metazoa; Chordata; Mammalia; Carnivora; Felidae
Exons: 2
Source: RefSeq, a predicted model, not a curated record
UCGCCUCUGCAAGACAAGUGGGGCGCCGGCUGUCAGCCUUGCAGGCCUUUGAGGCACGGCGGGUGCGUGCAGGCCGCCGAGGCCAUUCUGAGAGCCGGGUCUCUGGUUCGGUUGCGGGUGAGGCGCUCACUCCUCUGGCCUUGCCUCCUGGCUGUGGGGACUUCCACGGUCAGCAGCCCCCUCCUGCCCUUCCCCAGGCCACCAGCCCCAGGGGCACACCGGCCCCGUCCUCAUCCUGCGUGAGUCCUGUCCAGGCAGGAAAGGCGCUCUCCCUCCACGUUUUGGGGUGAUGCGGGGACCUCCCCCAAGAGGCCGCGGGAGCUUGAUCUGUGGGGCUGUGAGGGUGGCACAGGCCAGACAGCUGUGGUGGUUUGGAAACAGAAACGCACCAUGUCCCUGCUCUGCCCGUGGCCCGUGUUGCUCGUUUCAGAAGUGAGUGCCGGGGACCUGAGCCUAUGAGACGUAAAGCGGAACUUACUCCUUGAGCAGGACUGGGCCGGGGCCCGGGCUCCAGAGGCACCUUCAGGGGUCCUUAACCCCAAGGGACCCUGCAGGGACUCCCGUCCUGAGAGAGUCCCUGCGUUCCUAACACCCCUGCCCUGGCACCCCCGUCAGUAGACACGACAGGCUGGGUGGGCAGGCAGGCACGUCCCGAGAUGUCCCAACUGUGCUCACGUCCUAGCCCGCCACCCGAGAUCAAGGUCGGGUCACCGUCUGUGAACCGAGGACCAGAGCCUGCCUCCCAGACAGCCGGGGUGACAGUCCUGUACUGGAAGGACAGGGACCUUUUCAGCAGGGCCCUAAAUGUAAACUCUCGCAAGCGGACAGAAGAGGAAACCCCAAAAACCUGGAAUCUGAAAAGCAGAGGCACCCGUGGAAACUGAGCAGACCUGAGAAAGCGGGACCCCAGGCCAGCAACGGGGAGGCCAGACGCUCGGGUGGGGGGCCGGGCCCUUUGCACACGCGCUGCCUCACAGGCGGCCAACGGCUCGGGAAACGGGUCCAGAAAGAGCAGGGUCCAGGAAGUAGAGUGGAGCGGAGGAAACAAGUGUCCACACCUCCCCGAGGAAGAGCAGGCUUCCAGCGGCCCCCCGGGCCGGCCGGGCGGGAAACCCCCAGCAGGCCUGGGCGGCCGUGCGCAAAGCAUGCGGACGUGACGUGAGGCAGGCCUCCACGUGGCAGGGGAGGGGACUUGGGGACAGAGAAGGGAGACGCGGGCUCUCAGGACCGGCGUCCCAGACGCGCCAAGGAGUAAACAGGUGGCAGGAGGUGGGUGCAGAAGCGCCACCAGUGCCGGGGAGGCUGGCCGGGCACGGGCCACACGCUCCUCCCUUCUGCUGGCCGCCAGGGCACCGGCAUGCCCGCCGUCGGAGCUGGGAGCGCGGUAGGGGCGGGGGCCACUCACCGUGUCUCACGACGGUCACCCGCACUUUGGAGGUCCCGUUGCCCGCAGAGGACAGGACGGAGCAGCGGUACUCGGCGCUUUCUCGGAUGGCGUCUCGCAGCCAGCUGAGCACAUGGGCCCUGCCAUCGGGCAGCGCGUGGGUCUGCAUGGGGACGCACAUCUCCAGUUCUCGGCCGUUCUUCUCCCAGACAAAGCGGACGUCUGCGGGCCCUGGGGACACACACACCAUCUCUACCUGGUGGCCCCCGGACUCCCACCGAGGACCCAUGGGAACCAGGGUGGGGACAGGCGGUGUGGAGCCACCCACGCCAGGGGCCUCUGUUGUCUCAGCCGGACCUACGGUGAGGGGCAGGACAGCUUUCAUGCCAGUCCUUGUGUCCCCGGAGGAGGCGUGUGCCCCCGUGACCCCGGGAGAAGAGGUGGGCCCUCACUGCCCCUUCACCUCAGAUGUUCUUUCAAACCAAAACUUGGUGCCGUGCAGCACACGCUGAGGCCGUCAGGGGGCACCUCCCCCAUGGAGUGCCCGGUGACCGUGCCCUGGGCCAGGCGUCCAUCCUGCACGGAGGGUCUGUGCCUGGGAACUCCACCUCCCGGCCCUGCUCCCAUCUGUGACCAGAACCUCUGCUUCCAUGGGGGCCGCCCCUGCCUCCCCAGAACCUAAGUUGGGGGCAGGGCACCGAGAAGGGCCGAAGACCCCUCCGUCCCCACCGCCCCCUCCUCUCUGCCUGUGCCAGGCGGCACGGCACCAGGGGGUGGGCUGUGAGCCGACCUAGACCAAAGCCAGCCCCUCCUGACCAUGAUCUCCCUGAGAGCCCUGUUUCUAAAAU